AAAAAGAUAAGCUAAGUUAAGCUAUUAGGUUCAUACCCUAAAGAUAGAAGUGACCUUCUUCUUUUUA
RNAcentral lists this transfer RNA (67 nucleotides) under Velinus nodipes. Its description in RNAcentral is "tRNA-Met". Lineage: Eukaryota; Metazoa; Arthropoda; Insecta; Hemiptera; Reduviidae. The record is from RNAcentral.